ACGACUAAAUACAAUGUGGACAAAAGAGGCAAUCAGGUAAAAAACGUGUGUGUGUGUGUGUGUGUGUGUAUUUAUUUAUUCUCCAUUUAACAAUUAACAAUUACAUAGGGCCACUACGUACUGGACUCUAGUAAAUGGAGUACAAUGCUGUCGCUGUUGGAUAGACAGUGGCCCUCCCCUCACAGAGUAGACAGUUUAGUGAGGGGAGAAACAAGCAAAAACUACACAAUAUUUUAAUCAAACUUUGUUUUUAUUGAAGUAUAGUUGAUUUACAAUGUUGUGUUGAUUUCUGCUGUACAGCAAAGUGAUAUAUAUACAUACAUAUAUUUUUUUCCAUUAUGAUGUAUCGCAGGACAUUGGAUAUAGUUCUCUGUGCUGUACAGUAGGACCUUGCUGUUUUUCCCCCUCCAUGUAUAAUAUGUUGUAUCUGCCCACCCCAACCUCCCACUCCAUCUCUUCCUUAACCCCUUGGCAACAAGAAGUCUGUUCCUCUUGUCUGUAGCUCCAUUUCUGUUUUGUAGGUAGGUUCAUUUGUUUCAUAUUUUGUAUUCCAGAUAUAAGGGAUAUCAUACGUUAUUUGUCUUUCUGACUUACUUCGCUUAAUAUGAUAACCUCUAGUUGCAUGCAUGUUGCUGCAAAUGGCAUUAUUUCAUUCUUUUUUAUAAGCUGAGUUGUAGUCCACUGUACAUAUGUACCACAUCUUUAUCCAUUCAUCUGGUGGGUUUUUUGUUGUUGUUUCACCGCAGUAUAGUUAAUUUACAAUGUUGUGAUAUUUUCUACUGUACAACAAAGUGAUUCAGUUAUACAUAUACACACAUCCAUUCUUUUUCAGAAACUUUUCCCAUAUAGAUUGUCACAGAAUAUUGGGUAGCAUUCCCUGUGCUAUAUAGCAGGCACCAAUUGGCCAAUCAUUCCACAUACCACUGUAUGCAUAUACCAAUCCCAAACCUCCAUUCCACCCCUCUCCCCACCUGUCCACUUGGUAACCAUAAGUUUGUUUUCAAAAUCUCUGAAUCUGUUUCUGUUCUGCAAAUAAAUUCAUUGUAUCUAUCUAUUCAUCUCUUGAUAGGUUGUUUCCAUGUCUUAGCUAUUGACACAUGCAGUUAAUUAUAGCAUUUACAAGUAAUGCACAGAAAAAGUAUAGGGUGUUAUGAUUAUGAACAAGAAGAGGAAUCCAAUCUAUCCUCAGGGAUUUUCAAAGGCUUUUUCUAAGGAAUUUAUGCUUGGGCUAAGACUGAAAGUACAAUUAUGAGUUGGCCUGGUGAGGAGAAGGAGAUUGGACUCCCAAAGAGAAGACCAGUUUUAAGGCUCUCACAAUAACCCAGGAGAUGAUAUAGUUUGAAUUGUAUCAAUAGAAGAAAGAGAGGAUGUGACAUAUUAGAGACAGACGUUUUAAAUGACUAUUAGAAUGUUUGGGGAUGAAUACUAGCUUAAGGGGUUGGAUUUAAUAACAGCAUAAGCUGAUGUGAGAAAAGAACAUCUUUGAGUGACAAGCUGACGGAUGAUUGUUUUGGACAGGUAUUCGAUUAAGGUAAGGCUUUUUUCUCUCAAAAAGGUACUUUCUGCCUCUAUACUAUUUCAGUUCACCUGUUCUCUUCCUCCACUUCUUCCUCCUUUUUUUAUUAUGUAUUAAGAACAAAUAAGGUACAGCUUAAAUAUAUUUUGAUAAUUCAUUUUCAUCAGAGCCUCAAAGUUAAUCUCCCCUGAUAAAAUACUUAGGAAAAAUUUUACUGAGGAGGUGAAAGAUCUGUACACUGAAAACUAUGACAGCAAUGAAAGAAAUUGAAGACACAGAUGAAUGGAAAGAUAUCCCAUGUUCAUGGAUUGAAGGGAUUAAUAUUGCUUAAAAUGUCCAUACUACCUAAAGCUAUCUAAAGAAUUGAUGCAGGAGGGAGUUCCCAUCAUGGCUCAGUGGUUAAUGAACCCAACUAGUAUCCAUGAGUAUGUGGGUUCGAUCCCUGGCCUUGCUCAGUAGGUUAAGGAUCUGGCACUGUUGUGACCUGUGGUGUAGGCCAAAGACAGCUCUGAUGCUACAUUGCUGUGGCUAUGGCAUAGGUCAGCAGCUAUAGCUCCAAUUUGACCCCUAGCCUGGGAACCUCCAUAUGCUGUGGGUGCAGCCCUAAAAAGACAAAAACCACACACACACACACACACAAAGAAUUGAUGCAAUCCCUAACAAGAUUCCAAUAGCAUUUUUUACAGAAAUCCAAAAAAUAUAUAUAUCCUGAAGUUCAUUUCAUGGCACAAUGGUAACAAACCAACUAGUAUCUAAAAAGGACAUGGCUUGGAUCCCUGGCCUCACUCAGUGGGUUAAAGAUCCAGUGUUGCCAUGAGCUGUGGUCUAGGUGGCAGAUGCGGCUUAGAUCUUGCAUUGCUGUGGCUGUGGUGUAGGCUGGCAGCUUCAGCUCUAAUUCAACCCCUAGUUUAGGAACUUUCAUAUGCUACAGGUAUGGCCCUAAAAAGGCAAAAAAAAAAAAAAAAAAAAUCCUAAAAGUCAUAUGGAACCACGAAAGACACUGAAUAGCCAAAGCAAUCCUAAAUAAGAAGAGCAAAGCUGGAAAUAUCACAGUCCUAAUUUUAAACUAUAUUACAAAGCUAUAGUAAUCAAAACAGUAUGAUACUAUCUAAAAGCAGACACAUGGACCAAUGGAACAAAAUCAAGAGCCCAGAAGUAAACCCACACCUAAACAGUCAACUAAUAUUUGACGAGACAGCCAAGAAUGCUCAGUGGAUAAAAGACAGUCUCUUCAAUAAAUGGUACGGAGAAGAUUGGAUAAAACUAGAUUCCUGUAUUACUCCACUCACAAAAAUUAAGUUGAAAUGGAUUAAAGACUUGUAUGAAAGAUCUGAAAUCAUAAAACUCCUAGAAGAAAACAAAGGGGAAAAUCUCCUUGAUGAGAGUCUUGGCAAUAAUUUUUUUAGACAUGACACCUAAAGCAAAGGCAACAAAAACAACAACAGACAGGUGGGACUACAUCAAACUAAAAAGCUUCUGUACAGCAAAAGGAGUGAUUGACAAAAUGAAAAGCCAACCAGUGGUAUGAAACAAAAUACUUGCAAAUCAUACAUUAGAUAAGUGGUUAAUACCCAAAAUAUAUAAAGAACCAAUACAACUCAAUAGCAAGAAAAUAAAAAAUCCCAAAUAAAAAGUGGGCAAAUGACCUGAAUAGGCAUUUUUCCAAAGAAGGUACUCAAAUGGCCAACAGGUUUGUGAAAAGUUGCUCAACAUCACUAAUCAUUAGGGAAAUGCAGAUCAAAAGCACUAUGAGAGAUAACUCACACCUGUUAGAAUUGCUGAUGUCAAAAACACAAGAAGUAACAAGUUCUGGCAAGGAUGCGGAGAAAAGGAAAUCCUGGUACACUGUUGGUGGGUGUGUAAAUUUGUAUAGCCACUAUGGAAAACAGCGUGGAAUUUCCUCAAAAGAAUUAAAAAUAAAAUUAUCAUAUGAUCCAGCAAUGCCAUUUUUGGGUAUAUAUCUGAAGGGAAGGAAAUCACCAUCCCUGGACUUCUCGUUGUGGCUCAGCAGAAAUGAAUCUGACUCGUAAGCAUGAGGUUGCUGGUUUGAUCCCUGACCUUGCUCAGUGGGUUAAGGAUCCAGCAUUGCCAUGAGCUGUGGUGUAGGUUACAAACGUGGCUCCGAUGCUGCAUUGCUGUGGCUGUGGUGUAGGCCGGUGGCUACAGCUCCACUUAGAUUGCUAGCCUGGGAACUUCCAUAUACU
RNAcentral lists this long non-coding RNA (3720 nucleotides) under Sus scrofa (pig). Its description in RNAcentral is "lncRNA (ENSSSCG00000052910.1)". The record is from RNAcentral. Lineage: Eukaryota; Metazoa; Chordata; Mammalia; Artiodactyla; Suidae.